GCCGGGUUGGCCCAACGGGGAGAGGCGACGGAUUUAAAAUCCGUGAGUUGCGGGUUCGAGUCCCGCACCCGGCA
Molecule: transfer RNA, 74 nt
Filed under: Profundirhabdus halotolerans
Lineage: Bacteria; Bacillati; Actinomycetota; Nitriliruptoria; Nitriliruptorales; Nitriliruptoraceae
Description: tRNA-Leu
Rfam family: tRNA
About the family: Transfer RNA (tRNA) molecules are approximately 80 nucleotides in length. Their secondary structure includes four short double-helical elements and three loops (D, anti-codon, and T loops).
Source: RNAcentral